AGCCUUCUGUAUCCGUGCUGAGAUUUCGUCACACACCAUUCCACAAUGGCUGAUGAGACUUC
Molecule: microRNA precursor, 62 nt
Filed under: Schistosoma mattheei
Lineage: Eukaryota; Metazoa; Platyhelminthes; Trematoda; Strigeidida; Schistosomatidae
Description: mir-3492 microRNA precursor family
Rfam family: mir-3492 microRNA precursor family
Source: Rfam by way of RNAcentral